GCGGCCUAUCAGCUUGUUGGUGGGGUAAUGGCCUACCAAGGCGGCGACGGGUAGCCGGCCUGAGAGGGUGUACGGCCACAUUGGGACUGAGAUACGGCCCAGACUCCUACGGGAGGCAGCAGUGGGGAAUAUUGCACAAUGGGCGCAAGCCUGAUGCAGCGACGCCGCGUGGGGGAUGAAGGCCUUCGGGUUGUAAACUCCUUUCGCUAGGGACGAAGCUUUUUGUGACGGUACCUAGAUAAGAAGCACCGGCUAACUACGUGCCAGCAGCCGCGGUAAUACGUAGGGUGCGAGCGUUGUCCGGAAUUACUGGGCGUAAAGGGCUCGUAGGUGGUUUGUCGCGUCGUCUGUGAAAUUCUGGGGCUUAACUCCGGGCGUGCAGGCGAUACGGGCAUAACUUGAGUGCUGUAGGGGUAACUGGAAUUCCUGGUGUAGCGGUGAAAUGCGCAGAUAUCAGGAGGAACACCGAUGGCGAAGGCAGGUUACUGGGCAGUUACUGACGCUGAGGAGCGAAAGCAUGGGUAGCGAACAGGAUUAGAU
RNAcentral lists this ribosomal RNA (540 nucleotides) under uncultured Actinomycetales bacterium. Its description in RNAcentral is "bacterial SSU rRNA". It matches the Rfam family "Bacterial small subunit ribosomal RNA", at positions 233 to 783 of the family's 1533-position model. Lineage: Bacteria; Bacillati; Actinomycetota; Actinomycetes; Actinomycetales. The record is from RNAcentral.